Molecule: ribosomal RNA, 367 nt
Filed under: Myxococcales bacterium
Lineage: Bacteria; Pseudomonadati; Myxococcota; Myxococcia; Myxococcales
Description: partial 23S ribosomal RNA
Rfam family: Bacterial large subunit ribosomal RNA
Source: RNAcentral
AAGGGUUUGGCUGUUCGCCAAUUAAAGCGGUACGCGAGCUGGGUUUAGAACGUCGUGAGACAGUUCGGUCCCUAUCUUCUGUGGGCGUAGGAGACUUGAUGGGAUCUGUCCCUAGUACGAGAGGACCGGGAUGGACGAACCUCUGGUGUACCAGUUGUCGCGCCAGCGGCAUGGCUGGGUAGCUAUGUUCGGAAGGGAUAACCGCUGAAAGCAUCUAAGUGGGAAACCCUCCCAAAGACUAGGUCUCCCGAGCAUUUAUGCUCCUUAAGGCCAGUUGAAGACUACAACGUUGAUAGGUGGUAGGUGUAUUGAGGUAACUCCUCUUUAGCCGAGCCAUACUAAUCGGCCGUGAGGCUUGAUCAUCCUU